RNAcentral lists this ribosomal RNA (443 nucleotides) under uncultured bacterium. RNAcentral's name for it is "partial 16S ribosomal RNA". It matches the Rfam family "Bacterial small subunit ribosomal RNA", at positions 338 to 795 of the family's 1533-position model. The record is from RNAcentral.
CCUACGGGUGGCAGCAGUGGGGAAUAUUGGGCAAUGGGCGCAAGCCUGAUCCAGCAACGCCGCGUGAAGGAAGAAGGCUCUCGGGUUGUAAAGUUCUUUUCUCAGGGACGAAGCAAGUGACGGUACCUGAGGAAUCAGCCACGGCUAACUACGUGCCAGCAGCCGCGGUAAUACGGAGGUGGCAAGCGUUAUCCGGAUUUACUGGGUGUAAAGGGCGUGUAGGCGGGGACGCAAGUCAGUUGUGAAACCCACGGGCUCAACCUGUGGCCUGCAUUUGAAACUGUGUUUCUGGAGUACAGGAGAGGCAGACGGAAUUCCUGGUGUAGCGGUGAAAUGCGUAGAUAUUAGGAGGAACACCAGUGGCGAAGGCGGUCUGCUGGACAGCAACUGACGCUGAGGCGCGAAAGCGUGGGGAGCAAACAGGAUUAGAUACCCCUGUAGUC